UAGGGAAUCUUGGACAAUGGGCGAAAGCCUGAUCCAGCCAUGCCGCGUGGGGGAUGAAGGCCUUCGGGUCGUAAACCCCUUUUCUGGGGGACGAACGAGCAGAGGAGGAAAUGCCUUUGCUGUGACGGUACCCCAGGAAUAAGCAACGGCUAACUCCGUGCCAGCAGCCGCGGUAAUACGGAGGUUGCAAGCGUUGUUCGGAAUUACUGGGCGUAAAGGGAGCGCAGGCGGUCGGGUCUGUCUGAAGUGAAAGCCCGUGGCUUAACCACGGAAGUGCUUUGGAUACUACCCGGCUUGAGUACGCGAGAGGAGAGCGGAAUUCCAGGUGUAGCGGUGAAAUGCGUAGAUAUCUGGAGGAACACCGGUGGCGAAAGCGGCUCUCUGGCGCGUUACUGACGCUCAGGCUCGAAAGCGUGGGGAGCAAACA
RNAcentral lists this ribosomal RNA (427 nucleotides) under uncultured bacterium. Its description in RNAcentral is "bacterial SSU rRNA". It matches the Rfam family "Bacterial small subunit ribosomal RNA", at positions 355 to 774 of the family's 1533-position model. The record is from RNAcentral.